GCAUCUCUCUUUACCUAAACUCGCUUCAAAACGAGAAAGGAAAAAACCAAAAAACUCAAAGCUCAAGACUCGAGCAAGUGACGAUUGCUCCAACCACUUGAUCCAGAUUUUAGCCGAGCACUCAUAUCACUGGUAUCAACAGAAUCAGGGAUCAAAACAAGUUCAGAGAGAGAGAGAGAGAACUGCCCAUACUCUUUAAGCCUCAAUUCUGUUUGUGCCAAAUAUCAUUCAGUAAUGGUAAAAGAAAGGCAUUCAUACAGCCCUAGAAAAUUAGAUUACCCAACCACGCACCCGUGAAUGCAUGCUUACACAAAACAUGACUUCAUUCUCGGCAUCAUAUGGAAGUAUCAGUUUUGGUUAAGCUCCCGUCAGUAUUAGAUAAAGCACGUACCAGCCUGCAGGCCACAUGGGAUUUUUUUCACAGAGGGUAUACAUUAUGUUCCACUACAGGUGUUCAUCAUUUUCAGAAAGCCUGUGGUGCAUGAUUGCAGC
This 492-nucleotide long non-coding RNA is filed under the name Elaeis guineensis (African oil palm). Its description in RNAcentral is "long non-coding RNA (EGUI_LNC015802)". Lineage: Eukaryota; Viridiplantae; Streptophyta; Magnoliopsida; Arecales; Arecaceae. The record is from RNAcentral.